UACGUAGGGUGCGAGCGUUAAUCGGAAUUACUGGGCGUAAAGCGUGCGCAGGCGGUUGGUUAAGUCUGAUGUGAAAGCCCCGGGCUCAACCUGGGAAUGGCAUUGGAAACUGGCUGGCUAGAGUGUGGCAGAGGGGGGUGGAAUUCCGCGUGUAGCAGUGAAAUGCGUAGAGAUGCGGAGGAACACCGAUGGCGAAGGCAGCCCCCUGGGCUAGCACUGACGCUCAGGCACGAAAGCGUGGGUAGCAAACAGG
Molecule: ribosomal RNA, 253 nt
Filed under: uncultured bacterium
Lineage: Bacteria
Description: partial 16S ribosomal RNA
Rfam family: Bacterial small subunit ribosomal RNA
Source: RNAcentral